GGAGAGGUGGCCGAGUCUGGCUGAAGGCGCACGCCUGGAAAGCGUGUGUAUCUUAACGGGUACCGGAGGUUCGAAUCCUCUCCUCUCCGCCA
Molecule: transfer RNA, 92 nt
Filed under: Desulfomicrobium sp.
Lineage: Bacteria; Pseudomonadati; Thermodesulfobacteriota; Desulfovibrionia; Desulfovibrionales; Desulfomicrobiaceae
Also listed under: 1 other name
Description: tRNA-Ser
Rfam family: tRNA
About the family: Transfer RNA (tRNA) molecules are approximately 80 nucleotides in length. Their secondary structure includes four short double-helical elements and three loops (D, anti-codon, and T loops).
Source: RNAcentral